This 390-nucleotide unclassified non-coding RNA is filed under the name soil metagenome. Its description in RNAcentral is "partial contains 5.8S ribosomal RNA, internal transcribed spacer 2, and large subunit ribosomal RNA". The stretch from base 1 to 122 matches the Rfam family "5.8S ribosomal RNA", at positions 35 to 154 of the family's 154-position model. The record is from RNAcentral.
GAUGAAGAACGCAGCGAAAUGCGAUACUUGGUGUGAAUUGCAGAAUCCCGUGAACCAUCGAGUCUUUGAACGCAAGUUGCGCCCGAAGCCAUUAGGCCGAGGGCACGCCUGCCUGGGCGUCACACGUCGUUGCCCCCCCAUCUACUCCUUCGGGAUGGCGGGGGGCGGAUGAUGGCCUCCCGUGCGCCUCGUCGCGCGGUUGGCAUAAAUGCCAAGUCCUCGGCGACGCACGCCACGACAAUCGGUGGUUGCGAAACCUCGGUUGCCCGUCGUGUGCGGUCGUCGCGCAUCGAGGGCUCGAAAAAAUUGCCGGGCUCCGGCUCGGCUUUCAACGCGACCCCAGGUCAGGCGGGGUUACCCGCUGAAUUUAAGCAUAUCAAAAGCGGAGGA